GGGUUGUGACAUGUGGAGUGUAUAUCUGGCGUAUGACACUUGAUUCAAUUCUCAUUAAUAAAAUAAAAUAAUGAGUUGAAUUCUGAUACAAUAGGUAGAUUCCUAGGCCUCCAUAUAGCCAAAUAGUAAUAGUUGUUGGUUAGCCUAUACACCCAAUUCUGGUUGUAGCUCUUACAAAAGUGGAGAUGGUUUUUGAAGACAAAGUGUUAAGUUUGGGA
This 218-nucleotide long non-coding RNA is filed under the name Vigna radiata. RNAcentral describes it as "long non-coding RNA (VRAD_LNC007573)". The record is from RNAcentral. Lineage: Eukaryota; Viridiplantae; Streptophyta; Magnoliopsida; Fabales; Fabaceae.